Oryza punctata is the source of this 207-nucleotide non-coding RNA. The record is from Rfam. Lineage: Eukaryota; Viridiplantae; Streptophyta; Magnoliopsida; Poales; Poaceae.
AAUAAGUAUAAUUUUACAUUAUUUAUGUUCAACGUUUGACCAUCCAUCUUAUUUGAAAAAAAUUAUGAUUAAUAUUUUUGUUGUUAUUAGAUGAUAAAACAUGAAUAGUACUUUAUGUGUGACUAAUUUUUUAAACUUUUUUCAUAAAUUUUUUAAAUAAAACGAACGGUUAAACGUUGGACACAGAAACCCACGACUACACUUAUU